GCAAGUCGAGCGGAAGCGCGGGGCAACCUGGCGGCGAGCGGCGAACGGGGGAGUAAUGCAUCUGACAUGUCCUUGCCGUGGGGGAUAGCCCGGCGAAAGCCGGAUUAAUACCGCAUACGCACGAGAGGGGAAAGUGGGGGACCGCAAGGCCUCACGCGAUUGGGUUGGCCGAUGUCCGAUUAGCUAGUUGGCGGGGUAAGAGCCCACCAAGGCGAUGAUCGGUAGCUGGUCUGAGAGGAUGAUC
This 244-nucleotide ribosomal RNA is filed under the name uncultured bacterium. Its description in RNAcentral is "partial 16S ribosomal RNA". It matches the Rfam family "Bacterial small subunit ribosomal RNA", at positions 57 to 305 of the family's 1533-position model. The record is from RNAcentral.